AGAGUUUGAUCCUGGCUCAGGAUGAACGCUGGCGGUAUGCUUAACACAUGCAAGUCGAACGGAAGUCUUCGGACUUUAGUGGCGGACGGGUGAGUAACGCGUGAGAAUCUACCUUCAGGAUGGGGACAACAUUAGGAAACUGAUGCUAAUACCCAAUAUGCCGAGAGGUGAAAGGCUUGCUGCCUGAAGAAGAGCUCGCGUCUGAUUAGUUAGUUGGUGGGGUAAUGGCCUACCAAGGCGGCGAUCAGUAGCUGGUCUGAGAGGAUGAUCAGCCACACUGGGACUGAGACACGGCCCAGACUCCUACGGGAGGCAGCAGUGGGGAAUUUUCCGCAAUGGGCGAAAGCCUGACGGAGCAAUACCGCGUGAGGGAGGAAGGCUUUUGGGUUGUAAACCUCUUUUAUUCGGGAAGAAGAACUGACGGUACCGAAUGAAUCAGCAUCGGCUAACUCCGUGCAGCAGCCGCGGUAUAC
RNAcentral lists this ribosomal RNA (473 nucleotides) under uncultured bacterium. RNAcentral describes it as "bacterial SSU rRNA". It matches the Rfam family "Bacterial small subunit ribosomal RNA", at positions 8 to 526 of the family's 1533-position model. The record is from RNAcentral.